Molecule: ribosomal RNA, 468 nt
Filed under: uncultured bacterium
Lineage: Bacteria
Description: partial 16S ribosomal RNA
Rfam family: Bacterial small subunit ribosomal RNA
Source: RNAcentral
GACGAACGCUGGCGGCGUGCUUAACACAUGCAAGUCGAACGGAAAGGCCCUGCUUUUGUGGGGUGCUCGAGUGGCGAACGGGUGAGUAACACGUGAGUAACCUGCCCUUGACUUUGGGAUAACUCCAGGAAACUGGGGCUAAUACCGGAUAUGAGCUCCUGCUCCAUGGUGGGGGUUGGAAAGUUUCGGCGGUUGGGGAUGGACUCGCGGCUUAUCAGCUUGUUGGUGGGGUAGUGGCUUACCAAGGCUUUGACGGGUAGCCGGCCUGAGAGGGUGACCGGCCACAUUGGGACUGAGAUACGGCCCAGACUCCUACGGGAGGCAGCAGUGGGGAAUAUUGCACAAUGGGCGGAAGCCUGAUGCAGCAACGCCGCGUGCGGGAUGACGGCCUUCGGGUUGUAAACCGCUUUCGCCUGUGACGAAGCGUGAGUGACGGUAAUGGGUAAAGAAGCACCGGCUAACUACGUG